AAUCCGCUUUGAUAAUGCUGGGAUGUGAUGGGGAGCGAAAUUUAGUAGCGAAGUAGCUGAUUUCACACUGUCAAGAAAAGUCUCUAUCGAGGUUAAAGGUACCCGUACCGCAAACCGACACAGGUGGGUGAGGAGAGUAUCCUAAGGCCAGCGAGAGAACUGUUGUUAAGGAACUCGGCAAAAUGACCCCGUAACUUAGGGAUAAGGGGUGCCACCAUCAGGUGGCCGCAGAGAAUAGGCCCAAGCGACUGUUUACCAAAAACAUAGGUUUCUGCUAAGUCGCAAGACGAUGUAUAGGAGCUGACGCCUGCCCGGUGCUGGAAGGUUAAGGGGAUCUGUUAGAGCAAUCGAAGCAGUGAACUUAAGCCCCAGUAAACGGCGGCCGUAACUAUAACGGUCCUAAGGUAGCGAAAUUCCUUGUCGGGUAAGUUCCGACCCGCACGAAAGGCGUAACGAUUUGGGCACUGUCUCAACAACAGACUCGGUGAAAUUGUAAUUCCGGUGAAGAUGCCGGAUACCUGCGACAGGACGGAAAGACCCCAUGGAGCUUUACUGUAGCUUGACAUUGGGUCUUGGUACUACAUGUACAGGAUAGGUGGGAGGCUUUGAAACCAGGACGCCAGUUUUGGCGGAGCCAUCCUUGGGAUACCACCCUUGUAGUACUGGGACUCUAACCAUAGGCCAUGAAUCUGGUCUUGGGACACUGUCAGGUGGGCAGUUUGACUGGGGCGGUCGCCUCCC
RNAcentral lists this ribosomal RNA (741 nucleotides) under Clostridium sp. HMSC19E03. RNAcentral describes it as "bacterial LSU rRNA". It matches the Rfam family "Bacterial large subunit ribosomal RNA", at positions 1539 to 2291 of the family's 2925-position model. The record is from RNAcentral. Lineage: Bacteria; Bacillati; Bacillota; Clostridia; Eubacteriales; Clostridiaceae.